RNAcentral lists this unclassified non-coding RNA (137 nucleotides) under soil metagenome. RNAcentral describes it as "partial internal transcribed spacer 1". The record is from RNAcentral.
CCUAGAGUUGUAGGCUUUGCCUGCUAUCUCUUACCAUGUCUUUUGAGUACUUACGUUUCCUCGGCGGGUCCGCCCGCCGAUUGGACAAUUUAAACCAUUUGCAGUUGCAAUCAGCGUCUGAAAAACUUUAAUAGUUA